Molecule: non-coding RNA, 21 nt
Filed under: Caenorhabditis elegans
Lineage: Eukaryota; Metazoa; Nematoda; Chromadorea; Rhabditida; Rhabditidae
Source: RNAcentral
UUUACCUGUAUCGAAUAACUC